UUGAGGUGUACGGAGGAAAAGACGAAGAUGGGGAUGUGAGAAUCGAUGGGUAUGACUGCUUCAAAAUCGACCAGAGCUUCGCAGCACAGAGGUUUAAUGUGAAGACGCUGAAAUUCAAGAACGUACGUGAGCUUUACCGUCUGGGAUGUCGGGGCCCAGUACAAGGUAUUGUGAGAUCCUCUUUAUUCAUUUUCACGCUUGAAUAUGGGUUUAGUUUCAAUAUUUUAUGCCUAUGAAUAUGCUUAUCUAGAUCCAGCGCUUGUGUUAUUCCCGCACUCUACAGUAAAUCAAUAUCUCCCAGAA
Tarenaya hassleriana is the source of this 303-nucleotide long non-coding RNA. RefSeq lists it as uncharacterized. The record is from RefSeq and is a predicted model, not a curated record. The transcript has 2 exons. Lineage: Eukaryota; Viridiplantae; Streptophyta; Magnoliopsida; Brassicales; Cleomaceae.